Molecule: long non-coding RNA, 612 nt
Organism: Lotus japonicus
Lineage: Eukaryota; Viridiplantae; Streptophyta; Magnoliopsida; Fabales; Fabaceae
Exons: 3
Source: RefSeq, a predicted model, not a curated record
AAACCCCCCAAAUCUCUAACACUACACUCGAUCAGUACGUGUACUUCUGAGAAAAUUGGAACCCUAACUUUCUCCUCCUUGGUUGAACGAUCGUGGCCCUCCUCCUCCGCCGGCACAACUCAUGUGGGCGACCCUCUUCUCUCCUCCGGCACGGCUCAUCUCGGCGACGGCUUGCGCAACCCUCCUCUCUACGCUGCUGAGGAAGGUUUAGUCUGGGAGUACAAGGGAGAUAAAAAAAAUUAAGUUUUAUUACUCCAACAAACCUUGAGGGAAUGGGGAGAAUAAUGAUUUUCAUGAAGAAGGAGAAGAUGGAGAUGGAGAUGGAGAAGGAGAAAAGGUGAAGGAGAAGGAGGAGAAGAAGAAGAAUAUUGAUUGCUUUUGGAAUUGAUAGGUUUUUCUUAUUUUGAAAGAUUGUUUGGAACUUAGGAUGACAUCUUGAAAUUUUAUUUUGUAUCUGUUUUUGUUGAAUUUAACAUUGGCAUGAAUUGACUAGAAACUAUCAAGUUGAACAGUAUUAGGCAUUGCCAUUUUUUGUAGUAGUUUUAUUUAUUUUUUGCUCUUUGUGAUACAAUAUUUGUGUUAAUUAAGAUUUGGUCUGUUUUAUUUGAUUCA